GAUGAACGCUGGCGGCGUGCCUAAUACAUGCAAGUCGAGCGAACAGACGAGGAGCUUGCUUCUCUGACGUUAGCGGCGGACGGGUGAGUAACACGUGGAUAACCUACCUAUAAGACUGGGAUAACUUCGGGAAACCGGAGCUAAUACCGGAUAAUAUAUUGAACCGCAUGGUUCAAUAGUGAAAGACGGUUUUGCUGUCACUUAUAGAUGGAUCCGCGCCGCAUUAGCUAGUUGGUAAGGUAACGGCUUACCAAGGCGACGAUGCGUAGCCGACCUGAGAGGGUGAUCGGCCACACUGGAACUGAGACACGGUCCAGACUCCUACGGGAGGCAGCAGUAGGGAAUCUUCCGCAAUGGGCGAAAGCCUGACGGAGCAACGCCGCGUGAGUGAUGAAGGUCUUCGGAUCGUAAAACACUGUUAUUAGGGAAGAACAAAUGUUGAAGUAACUAUGCACGUCUUGACGGUACCUAAUCAGAAAGCCACGGCUAACUACGUG
RNAcentral lists this ribosomal RNA (497 nucleotides) under uncultured bacterium. RNAcentral's name for it is "partial 16S ribosomal RNA". It matches the Rfam family "Bacterial small subunit ribosomal RNA", at positions 28 to 507 of the family's 1533-position model. The record is from RNAcentral.